CAGGACUCGCAAGACUCCUACAACCCUGUGAACCUACUAUACGAACGUUGCUUCGGCGGGUGCGCCCCGGGGAUUCGUUCCCGAGGCGCGUCAGCCCGCCGGCAGCCUACAAAUUCUGUUUCUUUGCGUUGGCAUCUCGAGAAAAAAAAAAAAUAAGUUA
Molecule: unclassified non-coding RNA, 160 nt
Filed under: soil metagenome
Description: partial internal transcribed spacer 1
Source: RNAcentral